GAAAUGCGAUAAGUAAUGUGAAUUGCAGAAUUCAGUGAAUCAUCGAAUCUUUGAACGCACAUUGCGCCCCUUGGUAUUCCGAGGGGCAUGCCCGUUCGAGCGUCAUUAUAACCCCUCAAGCCCAGCUUGGCGUUGGGGCCUGCUGUUGCCGGCAGCCCUUAAAAUCAGUGGCGGUGCCAUCUGGCUCUAAGCGUAGUAAUACUUCUCGCUACAGAGUCCUGGUGGAUGCUUGCCAUCAACCCCUAAAUUUCUAUGGUUGACCUCGGAUCGGGUAGGGAUACCCGCUGAACUUAA
This 294-nucleotide unclassified non-coding RNA is filed under the name uncultured Leohumicola. RNAcentral describes it as "sequence contains ITS1". The stretch from base 1 to 105 matches the Rfam family "5.8S ribosomal RNA", at positions 50 to 154 of the family's 154-position model. The record is from RNAcentral. Lineage: Eukaryota; Fungi; Ascomycota; Leotiomycetes.